GUAGAUCAGACAGUUGCGGGCAGAAGCCGAAAGGCUCUGUACGAGGAAAGUCCGAGCAUCGCAGAGCAGGAUGCCGGGUAACUCCCGGUGGAGGCGACUCUAAGGAAAGUGCAACAGAAAGAUAUACCGCCGCAUUUGCGGUAAGGGUGAAAAGGCGAGGUAAGAGCUCACCGGUGUGCGGGAGACCGCACAGCCGUGUAAACCCCAUCCGAUGCAACACCGUAUACAGAAGGUCAAGCUUGCUCGGCGUCUUCUAAAGGUGGCUUGAGGUGUGCAGAAAUGCACAUCGUAGAUAGAUAACUGUCUAAUACAGAACUCGGCUUACAGAUUUACUCU
Molecule: RNase P RNA, 336 nt
Filed under: human gut metagenome
Description: Bacterial RNase P class A
Rfam family: Bacterial RNase P class A
About the family: Ribonuclease P (RNase P) is a ubiquitous endoribonuclease, found in archaea, bacteria and eukarya as well as chloroplasts and mitochondria. Its best characterised activity is the generation of mature 5'-ends of tRNAs by cleaving the 5'-leader elements of precursor-tRNAs. Cellular RNase Ps are ribonucleoproteins.
Source: RNAcentral